Molecule: ribosomal RNA, 253 nt
Filed under: uncultured bacterium
Lineage: Bacteria
Description: partial 16S ribosomal RNA
Rfam family: Bacterial small subunit ribosomal RNA
Source: RNAcentral
UACGGGGGGGGCAAGCGUUGUUCGGAAUUACUGGGCGUAAAGGGCUCGUAGGCGGCCAACUCAGUCGGACGUGAAAUCCCUCGGCUUAACCGGGGAACUGCUUCCGAUACUGGAUGGCUUGAGUGUGGGAGAGGGAUGCGGAAUUCCAGGUGUAGCGGUGAAAUGCGUAGAUAUCUGGAGGAACACCGGUGGCGAAGGCGGUUCUCUGGGCCUUACCUGACGCUGAGGAGCGAAAGCGUGGGGAGCGAACAGG